Molecule: non-coding RNA, 80 nt
Organism: Schizophyllum commune H4-8
Lineage: Eukaryota; Fungi; Basidiomycota; Agaricomycetes; Agaricales; Schizophyllaceae
Source: Rfam
GGUCCUAUAGUGUAGCGGUUAUCACAGUGGAUUCUGAUUACAGCCUUCCACUAACGCAGGUUCGAUUCCUGCUAGGACCU